Molecule: long non-coding RNA, 2122 nt
Filed under: Callithrix jacchus (white-tufted-ear marmoset)
Lineage: Eukaryota; Metazoa; Chordata; Mammalia; Primates; Cebidae
Description: lncRNA (ENSCJAG00000087240.1)
Source: RNAcentral
UGUUUGUUUGACAGAGUUUUGUUCUCUUUGCCCAGGCUGGAGUGCAAUGGCGCCAUCUUGGCUCAUCACAAGCUCCGCCUCCCCGGAUGGAGCGAUUCUCCGGCCUCAGCCUCCCAAGUAGCUGGGAUUACAGGCAUGCGCCACCAAGCCCAGGUUUUUGUAUUUUUAGUGAAGACACACCAAUUUUGUAUUUUUUUUUAUUAUUUAAGACCUUUAUUAACAGGUGCUUGCAGUUUGUUGACUUUUUUGAAAAAAUCAAGUUGUAAACUUUUACUACAAAUUAAAAAUGAAGUUCUUAAAAAUCUCAACUUGACCAGAUAUGAAACAAUUUAAAAACCUUUAAAGGCGUAUUGAGAAAAACCAGGCUUUUUAAAAAAACACAUUUGUUAUUACCAAAAAGAGACAUCUUUAGGUAAAAAUAAUAAAAACCCCAUGCUGCAUAGAUAAUGCAGAUAGUUCUAUUUAUCUGGUCAACAGGCAAAAGCAAGCACUGGAGGUCUUCAGCUCCAAUCUUUUGUUCAUUUCUUAUUGCUGGAAUUUCUUAUUUCUUCUUGUUGGAUGACUAAACCGGAUGAUGGUAGAGAUGGUAAGCCGGCAUUUACUCAGCCCCGCCCUGCUCAGCCUCGGGAGCAGACGAAUUCUCAGCUGGUGGAUCAGCUACUUUUGUCUCUUUGCCAUCUUGUGGUUUAGGGUUUUCUGGGCGUGUGCGUUGGUAAUUGAAGUUGCGGCGGUACCGACGUUGAGGUGGCUGCUGACCUUGGGUCUCAUCUCCUUGAUUUUCUUUAUCCUCUUUAUUGCCGUCCUCUCUACGCUGUCUUUGGCGAGGAGGGCCCCUGUGGAAUCGUGGUCUAUAUCCCCGAUACAUAUUCUGCCUCACUGGUCUGCCUUGUUCUCCUGCACCCUGGUUGUCAGCACCCUUUUCUCCUUCAACAACAUCAAACUCCACAGUCUCUCCAUCUCCUACACUGCGAAGGUACUUCCUGGGGUUAUUCUUCUUUAUGGCAGUCUGGUGUACAAAUACAUCUUCCUUGGUGUCAUUCCUGUUGAUGAAACCAUAUCCGUUCCUUACAUUGAACCAUUUUACUGUUCACAAAACUUUUUGUCCCCGCCGGCAGGCGCCGCCAAUGUGAGGCAACCCGGGCCACCACUCCCUGCGCCGCUGCUCAUAGUACCAGGCUUGGUGUCAGCGGCGCUGAGGGCGGGGGCAGUGGGCGGCUGCUGGGUCUCAGCCUCGCUGCUCAUGGUUGCAGUGAUGGUGACUGGGGCUGGCUGCAGCAGCUACGGCUCCUCCCGGGAUGUGAUGGUAACUAGGCCAGCAGCGGCGGCGGUGGGGCUGCUCAGGGCUCUCUGGGGUCUUCUCUCUGCUCCCGCUACCGAUCGAACUCCAAUUUUGUAUUUUUUAGUGUGACAGGGUUUCUCCGUGUUUGGUCAGGCUGGUCUCGAACUCCCAACCUCAAAUGAUCUGCCCUUUUCGGCCUCCCAAAGUGCCGGGAUUACAGGUGUAAGCCACUGCACCCUGCUAUCCUUUUUAUAUUUUUAAUUUUAAUUUUUCAUUUUUUUCUUUUCCCUCUUUUUUCAGAGAUGAGGUCUCACUGUGUUGGCCAGGCUGGAGUUCAGUGGCUAUUCACAGGUGUGAUUGAUCCCACUGCUGAUCAGCACGGGAGUUUUGUCCUGCUCCGUUUCCAGAAGGGACGGUUCACUCCUUCUUAGUCAACCUGGUGGUCCCCUGCUCCCAGAUGGCCACCAUCUUGAUGCCUAACUUAGUGUGAAUACCUGAUCAGCAUAGCACACUGCAGCCCAGAACUCCUGGGCUCCAGUGAUCCUCCUGCCUCAGCCUCCUGAGUGGCUGGACUGCAGGUAUGCUCCACCACACCUACCUAACCAUUUUUUAAUGAAAAAAAAAAAAAAAAGUGUAGUUUUCUCCAUUUUUUUCAUUCAAAAGUCUUUUUUUUUUUUUUUGAGACGGAGUUUCGCUGUUGUUACCCAGACUGGAGUGCAAUGGCACGAUAUCAGCUCACCGCAACCUCCGCCUUCUGGGUUCAAGCAAUUCUCCUGCCUCAGCCUCCUGAGUAGCUGGGCCUACAGGCACACACCACCAUGCCCAGCUAAUUUUUGUAUUUUU